RNAcentral lists this ribosomal RNA (468 nucleotides) under uncultured bacterium. RNAcentral's name for it is "partial 16S ribosomal RNA". It matches the Rfam family "Bacterial small subunit ribosomal RNA", at positions 28 to 507 of the family's 1533-position model. The record is from RNAcentral.
GACGAACGCUGGCGGCGUGCUUAACACAUGCAAGUCGAACGGAAAGGCCCUGCUUUUGUGGGGUGCUCGAGUGGCGAACGGGUGAGUAACACGUGAGUAACCUGCCCUUGACUUUGGGAUAACUUCAGGAAACUGGGGCUAAUACCGGAUAGGAGCUCCUGCUGCAUGGUGGGGGUUGGAAAGUUUCGGCGGUUGGGGAUGGACUCGCGGCUUAUCAGCUUGUUGGUGGGGUAGUGGCUUACCAAGGCUUUGACGGGUAGCCGACCGGAGAGGGUGACCGGCCACAUUGGGACGGAGAUACGGCCCAGACUCCUACGGGAGGCAGCAGUGGGGAAUAUUGCACAAUGGGAGGAAGCCUGAUGCAGCAACGCCGCGUGCGGGAUGACGGCCUUCGGGUUGGAAACCGCUUUCGCCUGUGACGAAGCGUGAGUGACGGUAAUGGGUAAAGAAGCACCGGCUAACUACGUG